This 65-nucleotide microRNA precursor is filed under the name Oryza longistaminata (longstamen rice). Its description in RNAcentral is "pre miRNA MIR2907". It matches the Rfam family "MIR2907 microRNA precursor family". Lineage: Eukaryota; Viridiplantae; Streptophyta; Magnoliopsida; Poales; Poaceae. The record is from RNAcentral.
CAGCGCCUUUCCCUCCGCCCACUCGGCUGCCACGCGGCAGCCGAGUGAGGGCCUCGGGGUGACGC